ACAUGAGGAAUACUCAAACAGAUAAAACAAACACAUACUUUCUAAGAUUGCAUAAACAGAACCUAUUUUUUUUUUUUUUUUUACUUAUGUCUUCACAGAAGGCUUUAAUACUAAUAUUUGGUUAAACAUGCAGCUGAACACACAUUAAACACAAACUCAUAGGCAUAAUGCUAUACUGUGACGCCAUAUAAGCCUUGUAUCAUGAGAACUUGUAGAAUUAAGAAAAACAGGGAGAUUGAUUUUGCAUAUGCCGACACACUUAUGUCUAUUGAACUUCAGUGUUGUCUCAUGCAAAAUCAAUAAUUAUGCCAGAAACCUCUGCCACCAAUUGUGUUAGUGUACGUGCAUAUGAGAUUGCUGGUGUUUGAUUGUAUAAGUGAAAUUGUUUUGUGUGGAUGUGUAGGAGUGAGAAAAAGACAAAGAGAGAGAGGGUGAGAGGGAGUGAUCCUGUAUCCGUGAUCCUGCUCCUGUGUUGUUCUUCUGGAUUGGAUGUUGUCUGGGCAGACAGCUUGACAAAUGAUACUGUUUGCUUUCAUCGAAUGGAAAAUAGCAGGCUGAACAUUCCUCAGAAUUUCACACAGGUGGGAAACAACAUGAGGUCUGCAGGUUGAAGCAACCCCCAACCCCCGCGCACAUACAAAACAUGAUUUCAACUGAGAAGGAAGGAGGGUUUGAGCUCCCGGAACAAGAUUAUGGAAUACCAAUUGGGCUGGUUUUGUUAAACAAACCUGGCAACCCUAGUUGCCAUAUGGGAAAUGGUGGGUGUUGUCACCUGUAUUAAAACAGAUUAUAGCCUGGGUUUCUCUUAAGGAUGUGCAUAACAAUGUCAAUAAUGCAGUCAAAUGUACAGCAAAGACAUGAAAGAGUGAAUGGAUUAUGUCCUCAAAUAAUUUCUCUUUUCUGUGCUUUCUCAGAAUCUCUCUAUUUCCUCUGUAAGGUGUGUACUGUAUUAUUCUGAUGAGUCCGCGCUCGUCUUAAUUAGCUGGAGCGGAGGCUUAUGAGAGGAAAGAGGCUGCAAAUGCAAUAACGUGGUUUGCUGAGCCGUAACUCGACACUGCCUUAAACUGUGGCAGAGAUGUGGCUGGCUGCUGGUAGAGAAAAGGAGCAUGGGAGCACAGUACCUUAUCCGAAACCUCUUCCUCACUAUUACCUCUCACCCACACAUAAUUGAGGGCUGUGGAGGAUAGUCUACUUUAUUUUACUCCACACGUCUUGGGUGUAUUCUCCUCUGCAGAUAGAUGAAAUGAGGUGGAGAAUGAUCAUUUUGUAGAAGACGAGGUAUUAUUUUAUAUUAGGCAGUCCUAAGUGCUUGGGUAUCUUUAAUUCACUGUGUAUGCCCAUGUUGCUACCUUUUCUGUAAGUGCUCUUUGGUGUUCUUUUACUUCACAGUAUUUUUUUUCUACUUUAGACAGUUUUGCACCACAUUUCCACCGGUCAUGGGGGACACCACUUGGAGUUGCACAAAAAACGUCCGUCACGGAUUGUCUUCCUCCCAAAUUUGAAUUAGUGCCCUGAUUACACUGAGAGGGGUGAGAGGGACACAGAUGGAUUAUGGACGGGAUCUGUAACAGAUGCCGCUGCCAGUUUCAAAUGGAAAAGACAAACAGUUAG
Molecule: long non-coding RNA, 1611 nt
Organism: Cyprinus carpio (common carp)
Lineage: Eukaryota; Metazoa; Chordata; Actinopteri; Cypriniformes; Cyprinidae
Source: Ensembl